This is a long non-coding RNA of Salvelinus sp. IW2-2015, 1910 nucleotides long. RefSeq lists it as uncharacterized. The record is from RefSeq and is a predicted model, not a curated record. NCBI's taxonomy places the organism in Eukaryota, Metazoa, Chordata, Actinopteri, Salmoniformes, Salmonidae.
GUCUCGCCAGAUUCCUUACAUGAAUAYAAUGCCAAAAAAGAUACAACACUGUUUCUGUGUGGUCAUUACAAAAGGUACAAUUUGGAUUUGUUUUUUAAAAACUUCUUCAUAUAGUGGUUGGCAGGAUAAUAUUUAUGAAUCAUUUUUAUAAGAAACUUCCUUAAUAAGUAAGUAUGUAUGUGGCCAGUCUACUACGGUACACAAGCAUUUCCACUGUUAUUGUUGCAUGUACUGAUUUGACAGAGGGACCAGUUGAAAGCUACCAUGGCCGUAAUUAUUUCAGAAGCAGCAGUCUUUUUUGGAUAACAACAGUGACGCUUUCGAUGGGAAUCUUCACAGUAGGCAGCAGCUUACCACCCUGUAUCCCACGGCUGGCUUGCCUCUAUAGCUAAGCAGGGUUGGUCCCUGGAUGGGAGACCAGAUGCUGCGGGAAGUGGUGUUGGAGGGUCAGCAUGACAAAGGGGAUGGACGGCACAAGGACUAGUUUGCCUCUAUUUUGUUCAGACAGUGCUGUUUGGCUUUGCCUCUCGGCCUGCUUCUCAAAUACAAACCUGCCCACAGGCCCAAACAACACUGACUCCACCAGGAAGACCCUGCUGCAGAACAGAGUCUAUAGUCUUUAUAGACUACACCACCACUUCCUCAGCAAAUAAUGAGUAGUCAUGGCAUGCUGUGAACUUUUAUCUGCUAACUUUUUUAUAUACACACCUAACAUUACUCGGAAAAUAAAUAAUCUUCUUUGACCCAGAACAUAUUUUAGGACAAAAUGCAAUGCACUGUUUAAACAGAGAUUAUCACAACGUUCAAAAUAUUGUCUUGUUUUAUAUCAUGAUGGAAAAGUAUGAAGUUUUCCUACAAAAUGUUUUCUAAUCAUAACGCUAGAGCAUUUUCCAAUUUUAAGUUCAGAUCACCCAUUUUAAUCACCGUUUACAUUACUCUCUUGUUUUAUGAAAAAGGACUACAGAUGUUUCAUACAGAUGUUUCUUAACUUGCCUUAUAUUACAUUAGAUGAAUCAAUUUGCCUUUAAGCAUGGACAAGCUUAGGAUUUAUCCACAAAUCGAGUCUAUUAAUAUAGAUAUGGGAUAAGAUGAGAGUUGAAGAGUGAAGUUCUCAUUUAUAACACGUGACAAAUAAAAGAGUGAUUGAUGAACAAACGUGGCUCUUUACAGCUACUUCGUUUUUUCCCACCUCUGUCUGUUAUACUGUCUUCUCGUGUGCUUGGACAGCUCUGAUGAGGACAUAACAUCAUCAUGGCCCAUGAUUGGUGACUGCAUUGGCAUUAUGACUAUGUUCAGAAUUGUAUGUAUUGAUCAGACAUGUAUUUGAGCAUUUAAAAAUAGGCCAGCAUAGCCAAAAUAUUGAGAAAUAACAGUGAAACAUUUGACAUAAAAAAAAAWUAUUAGAGCAGUAAGCCUAAUAUAGGCACCUGGCCCGGCCUACAGUAUGCAGGACUCCAUUGAUUCGUACAAUUUGUCAAACUAAUUUCCCAUCCAAAUGAAAAAAUAUAUAUACAAAGUAACAAAAUGUGACAUAUCACGUGAAUUACUUAAGCUUUAGGAAAUGCAACCAACUAGAGAUUUAUGGGGAGGGGAGUGGGAGAGGAACCCAUGUACCCCACUUCAAUCAAGCAGGCUUCAGUCACCCACUUUUGCUUCAGUCAUCCCCAUUGCCUGUAAUGUUUUUGAAAAGGGAAGUGUUUGUUAAAUGGGUAGUGAAUAUAAUUUCCUUUUAUUUACUGUUCUGAGUUAUGAUGUUAUCAAUUCGUUGAUGUUGUGAUCUACUCAUUCUACGCAAAGUUUUGGUGUUUUUGAAGUACUCAAUUUGAAAUAUGCAAUAUUUGGUUGUGCACUUUUUUGUGAAAAUUAUCAUUGUUUGUAUUUGGAAGUUGUGUGCCUGAAAUGCUCAAUUG